UACGAAGGGGGCUAGCGUUGUUCGGAAUUACUGGGCGUAAAGCGCGCGCAGGCGGCUAUCCAAGUCAGUGGUGAAAGCCCGGAGCUCAACUCCGGAACUGCCAUUGAAACUGUUUAGCUGGAGUAUGAGAGAGGUGAGUGGAAUUCCCAGUGCAGAGGUGAAAUUCGUAGAUAUUGGGAAGAACACCGGUGGCGAAGGCGGCUCACUGGCUCGUAACUGACGCUCAUGCACGACAGCGUGGGGAUCAAACAGG
Molecule: ribosomal RNA, 253 nt
Filed under: uncultured bacterium
Lineage: Bacteria
Description: partial 16S ribosomal RNA
Rfam family: Bacterial small subunit ribosomal RNA
Source: RNAcentral